RNAcentral lists this ribosomal RNA (432 nucleotides) under uncultured bacterium. RNAcentral's name for it is "partial 16S ribosomal RNA". It matches the Rfam family "Bacterial small subunit ribosomal RNA", at positions 29 to 506 of the family's 1533-position model. The record is from RNAcentral.
AACGAACGCUGGCGGCAUGCCUAACACAUGCAAGUCGAACGAGACCUUCGGGUCUAGUGGCGCACGGGUGCGUAACGCGUGGGAACCUGCCCUUAGGUUCGGAAUAACUCCCCGAAAGGGGUGCUAAUACCGGAUAAUGUCUUCGGACCAAAGAUUUAUCGCCUUUGGAUGGGCCCGCGUUGGAUUAGCUAGUUGGUAGGGUAAAAGCCUACCAAGGCGACGAUCCAUAGCUGGUCUGAGAGGAUGAUCAGCCACACUGGGACUGAGACACGGCCCAGACUCCUACGGGAGGCGGCGGGGGGAAAAUUUGGAAAAGGGGCGAAAGCCUGUCCCAGCAAUGCCGGGGGAGUGAUGAAGGCCUUAGGGUUGUAAAGCUUUUUUCCCCGGGAGGAAAAGGACAGUACCGGGAGAAGAAGCCCCGGCUAACCCCGU